Molecule: non-coding RNA, 583 nt
Organism: Leptonychotes weddellii (Weddell seal)
Lineage: Eukaryota; Metazoa; Chordata; Mammalia; Carnivora; Phocidae
Source: RefSeq, a predicted model, not a curated record
UGCUGCAAUGAACACGCUUACACAUGAUGUGUCUCAGUGAAAUUCCUAGAAGUGAAAUUGGAGGACAGAAGAUUAUGUGCAUCUUUUAAAAGGUUCCCAGGCUUCUACUGCGCUCCAUAAAUACACCAGCUUCUGCUCCCACCAGCCGUGCGGUGCCCAAUGACUCCCUUCGGUUCUAAACCUCACGACCCAGAGUGAGCACCAAUCCCCCAGAUGGAAGGCUCAGUCCCACAAGAUGGUCCCCACUUCAGACACCAGCUGCGAGUCCUGGGACACCCGUGUUUCUGACCAACAUAAGUCAGGGGUUUCCACCACCUCCUCCUCAGGUUCUAUGAUUUGCCAGAAUGACUACAGAACUGAGGAAAGUGCUUUAUGGACAAUCACUGGCUAAUGAUAAAGGGUACCCUAACCCUCCCAGCACCACCCCCUGUUCACCACCCAGGAAGCUCUCUGAAUGUUGCUCAAGAAUUUUUGAGGCAACUUACUGAAUGAGAGAAAAUAUUUGCAAAUCAUCUAUCGGAGAAAGGAAUUCAUUUCCAAAAGAUGUGAAGAACUCCUACGAUUCAACAGCAAAAAAAAAAAA